Molecule: ribosomal RNA, 229 nt
Filed under: uncultured bacterium
Lineage: Bacteria
Description: partial 16S ribosomal RNA
Rfam family: Bacterial small subunit ribosomal RNA
Source: RNAcentral
UGCGUAGGCGGAAAAUUAAGUCAGUGGUGAAAUCCUGCAGCUCAACUGUAGAACUGUCAUUGAUACUGAUUUUCUUGAAUUCAGUUGAGGUAGGCGGAAUGUAUAAUGUAGCGGUGAAAUGCUUAGAUAUUAUACAGAACACCGAUUGCGAAGGCAGCUUACUAAACUGAUAUUGACGCUGAGGCACGAAAGCGUGGGGAGCGAACAGGAUUAGAUACCCUGGUAGUCC